ACCGUCGACAGUCAGGUAACGAGCGAGACCCCUGCGUCUAGUUGCUACCAUUACUCUCUGGAGCAGUGGAGCGAAUUAGACGGACCGCCACAGUUAAUGUGGAGGAAGGAAGGGGCCACGGCAGGUCAGUAUGCCCCGAAACCCUAGGGCUACACGCGGGCUGCAAUGGUAUUGACAAUGUGUUCCGAAUCCGAAAGGAGGAGGCAAUCAUCAAACAAUAUCUCAGUUAUGACUGAGGGCUGUAACACGCCCUCACGAAUAUGGAAUCCCUAGUAACCGCGCGUCACUACCGCGCGGUGAAUACGUCCCUGCUCCUUGCACGAAUUCGCCG
This 331-nucleotide ribosomal RNA is filed under the name uncultured Thermoprotei archaeon. RNAcentral describes it as "bacterial SSU rRNA". It matches the Rfam family "Archaeal small subunit ribosomal RNA", at positions 1023 to 1352 of the family's 1478-position model. The record is from RNAcentral. Lineage: Archaea; Thermoproteati; Thermoproteota; Thermoprotei.